RNAcentral lists this ribosomal RNA (524 nucleotides) under uncultured bacterium. RNAcentral's name for it is "partial 16S ribosomal RNA". It matches the Rfam family "Bacterial small subunit ribosomal RNA", at positions 28 to 523 of the family's 1533-position model. The record is from RNAcentral.
GACGAACGCUGGCGGCGUGCCUAAUACAUGCAAGUCGAGCGCAGGAAACUGACGGAACUCUUCGGAGGGAAGGCAGUGGAAUGAGCGGCGGACGGGUGAGUAACACGUAAGGAACCUGCCUCAAGGAUUGGGAUAACUCCGAGAAAUCGGAGCUAAUACCGGAUAGUUCAACGGACCGCAUGGUCCGCUGAUGAAAGGCGCUCCGGCGUCACCUUGAGAUGGCCUUGCGGUGCAUUAGCUAGUUGGUGGGGUAACGGCCCACCAAGGCGACGAUGCAUAGCCGACCUGAGAGGGUGAUCGGCCACACUGGGACUGAGACACGGCCCAGACUCCUACGGGAGGCAGCAGUAGGGAAUCUUCCACAAUGGACGAAAGUCUGAUGGAGCAACGCCGCGUGAGUGAUGAAGGUUUUCGGAUCGUAAAACUCUGUUGUAAGGGAAGAACACGUACGAGAGGGAAUGCUCGUACCUUGACGGUACCUUACGAGAAAGCCACGGCUAACUACGUGCCAGCAGCCGCGGUAA